UAAUUAAUAUAAAACUCGUGUUCUAAGGCUUAAGGUACGAUCAUCAUGUAUUAGCCUGCUGGGAAAGACGAAACGUGAAUCAAAUCCACAAGGGUUUCACUGUAACCAGAAGAAAAUACAAGCACAGAUAUAACAAGAUUAAGACUCAGAGAGGGAGUCAAAGACAAUUUUUUAUUGAGCUCUGCUUGAAUGGACCCAAUGGCUGAAGAGCAAAUAGAUUAUGAAGAUGAGGAGUAUGGAGGGGGUCAGAAGAUGAUGUAUCAGGGAGGUGGAGCCAUACCUGCGCUUGCAGAUGAAGAACUGAUGGGAGAAGAUGAUGAAUUUGAUGAGCUCUAUAACGAUGUUAAUGUUGGAGAGGGUUUAUUGCACUUUCAGCAGCCUGAAGUACCACCUCCACAGAGUGCCAGUGGUGUGGGUAAUGGAGGUCUUCAAACUCAAAAACCUGAGGUUCCUGAACCUCGGCUGCAACCUGGGGGUUCACAAGGCCCAAACGUCCCUGGUGUUUCUGUUGAAGUAAAGUUUUCUAAUUCUGGAACCCGUUUUCCUGCUCAAAAUGAGGGACAGGUGGCUGUUAACAGACCAGACAUCGGAUCUGCGAGUUAUGCAGAUGGGGCUUCUGUUUCCCAAAAAGGGAAUGUUGUGGAGAUGAAUCAUGAUGCCCCAAUCAGAAAUACGGGGUUUCAAGGGUCUACGUCAGUGCCCCAAAAAGCUGCGCUUGAUCCAUCUAAUAUGCCUGGAAGAGUAGUCAAUGAGCCUGCACCUUUGCUAAAUCCUGGCACUGGUGGCCCUCAAGGUGUUAUACAGAUUCCAGGUAAUCAGAUGAGUGUACAUGCUAAUGUCAAUCGUCCUAUGGUGAAUGAUAAUCAGAUCCGGCCACCUAUGGAGAAUGGUGGGACUAUGCUGUUUGUAGGAGAAUUACACUGGUGGACAACUGAUGCAGAACUUGAAAGUGUUUUAUCUCAGUAUGGAAGAGUCAAGGAAAUUAAGUUUUUUGAUGAGAGAGCUAGUGGAAAAUCCAAAGGUUAUUGUCAAGUUGAAUUCUAUGAUUCAGGUGCCGCAGCUGCUUGCAAAGAGGGAAUGAAUGGUUAUGUUUUUAAUGGACGAGCAUGUGUUGUAGCUUUUGCUUCUCCACAAACGUUGAAGCAAAUGGGAGCUUCUUAUAUGAAUAAAAACCAGGGUCAGCCUCAGUCUCAACCUCAGGGAAGGAGACCCAUGAAUGAUGGUGCAGGGAGAGGUGGUAAUAUGAAUUAUCAAGGUGGUGAUGGAGGUAGGAACUAUGGAAGGGGUGGCUGGGGACGAGGUGGGCAGGGUGUACCCAACAGAGGUCCUGGAGGUGGACCAAUGAGGGGAAGAGGAGGGGCUAUGGGUGCAAAGAAUAUGGUUGGAAGCAAUGCUGGUGCUGGAAGCGCUGGCGGUGGUGGGGGUUAUGGACAAGGGCUUGCAGGUCCUGGAUUUGGGGGUCCAGCUGGUGGUAUGAUGCAUCCUCAGAAUAUGAUGGGUGGGUUUGAUCCAACAUAUAUGGGUCGAGGAGCAGCUUAUGGGGGAUUUUCAGGUCCUGGUUUUCCUAACAUGCUUCCUUCAUUUCCUGCUGUUAAUGCAAUGGGACUUGCUGGAGUGGCUCCUCAUGUCAACCCAGCGUUCUUUAGUCGUGGGAUGGCAGCUAAUGGGAUGGGAAUGAUGGGUUCUUCUGGAAUGGACGGACCUCAUCCGGGAAUGUGGACUGACUCAAGUAUGGGUGGAUGGGGAGGGGAGGAGCAUGGGCGGAGGACAAGGGAGUCAAGUUAUGGUGGAGAUGAUGGUGCUUCUGAUUAUGGGUAUGGAGAGGCAAAUCAUGAAAAGGGAGUAAGGUCAAGUGCAGCCUCUCGGGAAAAGGAACGGGUUUCUGAACGUGACUGGUCAGGGAGUACUGAUAGGAGGCAUCGUGAAGAGAGAGAACCAGACUGGGACAGGUCUGAAAGGGAUCACAGGGAUCACAGGUACAGGGAAGAAAAAGAUAGUUACCGCGACCAUCGACAAAGAGAACGCGACUCAGCAUAUGAAGAUGACUGGGAUAGGGGGCAGUCUUCUUCAAGAUCUCGAAGCAAGUCUAGAGCAAUGCCAGAAGAAAAUCACAGGUCUCGAUCAAGGGAUGCAGAUUAUGGGAAGAGGAGACGACUACCGUCAGAGUGACAGAAUUUGCUGUUCAUUCAUCUGUGGCAAAUCGUACAUGACUCAAAUUCUAGAAUUCACCCUUAGUGUUUUGCUCUUGGGUUGUUAAAGUGCAUCAACAAUUGCUCUCCCUGCUUUUCAUCGGCCCAAAUGCAGACAGUGACUUCUUGAGGGAAAAGGAGUGGAGUGGGCAACUCUCUGUUUUCAUGAGUGGAUGUGCCUGGAGGAAGAUGUGUUUGAUGGUCUGCAUUCAUUACUAACUCAAAUAUUGGCCUUGGUCUGUCAAGUGAGCAAAAGAAGCCUUGACAAUUUUGCUUUGACCUUUUUUUCCUCAAGCGCCCUUAAGAUCUGUAAUUUGCUCUCCGGGAAGAAAAUGCAUAGAAAUAGUUGGGAGUCUUGAACUUGUCAAAUAUGGAAUGGAUGUUGAUUAUAGGGUUUUCAUACCACUUUGUAAAGCAUCAUUUCACCUGUAAAGUCAAGUACAUGUAUUAGGUACCAGCAUUUAAUGGCCUCCUUCAUUAUUUAUUUGACCAUUUGUGGCUCACUGUGAGCUUGUAAAAGAGUUGUACUGACUUUGAGGCCUAUACUUUGUCAUAUUUGAUUUGGUGUAAUUGAGGAUUUUAAUUGUGAUUGGAUCCUCAGUGAUGAGCUAUUAAUACAUUGUAAUCUGCGUUGCUGUUCCACGUGUAAUUGGUUUUUGUAACAUAUAUAAUAUUAAUUUCUGUUACCAUGAGAGUGUAAAGGAUUUUCAACAUUUCGUAUUUUAAAUUCAAUUUAUGUAAAUUUUGACGUUUACUGGCGCAUAAGAGUCAUACGUUGUGGACUUCGCUGCAUUGUAAAUGGGCUGGACCAAGAGUUUUGGUUGUUUUGGGUAUGUUUCGUCGUUGAAGGCGUGAUGUUGUGCUCCUUGUGAAUUUCUCUUUCCCUGUAGUAAACUUGUUGUAAGAAGAUUUUGUAAAGCAUUUCAAUUGUACUACUUUUCUUGGUGGAAUUUUUUUGUAUAGAUCAAGUUUCCUGGAUUGCAUGCCAGAAAUUUUAAAAUAGGUUGGACAAUUUUCUGGUUAGUUUCAAUAGGGAGUGGUACUGUUUAUUCAAUGUGUAUUAGAUUUUUCCUGUUCCCCUAUCUCCUUGUAUCUGUGUAUGAGGCAAGACAACAUCAGUGUUCAAGGUGGCAUAUACUCAAUUACCUGCCUUCCCCUGUGUUGUUCUGAUGCUCUACUUGCUUAAUAAGGAAACUGCAAGAGUUGGGUUCACAAUUUUCCUGCCGGCUGCUGCAAUAUGUACUUGCACAUCUUCUCUUACUUUUGGAUGGCUUCUGUAUUCUUAAACAAGUCACUUUGUAGAUAUUUUUCCAUUCUUUUUGGUUUUGAGUUCUGUAAUUGGGUGUUUGCUAUGAUUGUUGAUUUGUAGUUCUGUGUAAUCAGUCUUCUUGCCA
This is an RNA transcript of Pistacia vera, 3583 nucleotides long. It is a transcript of the gene named cleavage and polyadenylation specificity factor subunit 6, with no coding region annotated. The record is from RefSeq and is a predicted model, not a curated record. Lineage: Eukaryota; Viridiplantae; Streptophyta; Magnoliopsida; Sapindales; Anacardiaceae. The transcript is spliced from 3 exons.